UGGGGAAUUUUGGACAAUGGGCGAAAGCCUGAUCCAGCCAUGCCGCGUGAGUGAAGAAGGCCUUCGGGUUGUAAAGCUCUUUUAGUCGGAAAGAAAGAGUUGCAAUGAAUAAUUGUGAUUUAUGACGGUACCGACAGAAAAAGCACCGGCUAACUACGUGCCAGCAGCCGCGGUAAUACGUAGGGUGCGAGCGUUAAUCGGAAUUACUGGGCGUAAAGGGUGCGCAGGCGGUCUUGCAAGUCAGAUGUGAAAGCCCCGGGCUUAACCUGGGAAUUGCGUAUGAAACUACAAGGCUAGAGUGCAGCAGAGGGGAGUGGAAUUCCAUGUGUAGCAGUGAAAUGCGUAGAGAUGUGGAAGAACACCGAUGGUGAAGGCAGCUCCCUGGGUUGACACUGACGCUCAUGCACGAAAGCGUGGGGAGCAAACA
This 427-nucleotide ribosomal RNA is filed under the name uncultured bacterium. Its description in RNAcentral is "bacterial SSU rRNA". It matches the Rfam family "Bacterial small subunit ribosomal RNA", at positions 355 to 774 of the family's 1533-position model. The record is from RNAcentral.